This 288-nucleotide unclassified non-coding RNA is filed under the name Absidia sp. (in: mucoromycotan fungi). RNAcentral's name for it is "Absidia sp. (in: fungi) partial contains 5.8S ribosomal RNA, internal transcribed spacer 2, and large subunit ribosomal RNA". The record is from RNAcentral. RNAcentral also lists the same sequence under 1 other name. Lineage: Eukaryota; Fungi; Mucoromycota; Mucoromycetes; Mucorales; Cunninghamellaceae.
AACGCAUCUUGCACCCUUUGGUAUUCCAAAGGGUACGCCUGUUUCAGUAUCAUUAUAACCUCUCUCCCCAAGGCUUUUUGGCCAUAGGGGGGAAAGAGCAUAACUGGUGGCCCAGCGCUCCUCUUGUGGGAGUUGUCUCGGCUGGAAUAAUUGUCGCAAGGGUAGGCCAAAAGGUCUUUCGCACUUGAUAAAUCUGAUUUGUUAUAGUGUGGGGAUUGGUUUGCCCAAGUUUGCGGCUACCCCUUUACCUUUGAUCUGAAAUCAGGCGGGAUUACCCGCUGAACUUAA